CCUACGGGAGGCAGCAGUGGGGAAUAUUGGACAAUGGGGGGAACCCUGAUCCAGCCAUGCCGCGUGUGUGAAGAAGGCCCUCGGGUUGUAAAGCACUUUCAGUGAGGAAGAACGCCUGGUGGUUAAUACCCAUCAGGAAAGACAUCACUCACAGAAGAAGCACCGGCUAACUCCGUGCCAGCAGCCGCGGUAAUACGGAGGGUGCGAGCGUUAAUCGGAAUUACUGGGCGUAAAGCGAGCGUAGGUGGCUUGAUAAGCCGGUUGUGAAAGCCCCGGGCUCAACCUGGGAACGGCAUCCGGAACUGGCAAGCUAGAGUGCAGGAGAGGAAGGUAGAAUUCCCGGUGUAGCGGUGAAAUGCGUAGAGAUCGGGAGGAAUACCAGUGGCGAAGGCGGCCUUCUGGACUGACACUGACACUGAGGUGCGAAAGCGUGGGUAGCAAACAGGAUUAGAUACCCGUGUAGUC
This 465-nucleotide ribosomal RNA is filed under the name Vreelandella stevensii. RNAcentral's name for it is "partial 16S ribosomal RNA". It matches the Rfam family "Bacterial small subunit ribosomal RNA", at positions 338 to 795 of the family's 1533-position model. The record is from RNAcentral. Lineage: Bacteria; Pseudomonadati; Pseudomonadota; Gammaproteobacteria; Oceanospirillales; Halomonadaceae.